CCUUUCGACGGCCCAAAUCCCUCCCUCCCUACCGAUAGCCCCUUCCUUCUCUCCCUCACUCUAAAUCGCCUUCCCUCCUUCACACACUCCCUACCGUCAGCCUCUUCCCUCACUCACUCCCUCUCGUCAGCCUCUUCCCUCACUCACUCCCUCUCGUCAGCCCCUAAUCCCUCCCUCCCGUCAGCCCCUAAUCCCUCUCUCCCGACAGGCCCUUCCUUCCCUCCCUCACUCUAAAUCGCCCUUCCCUCCCUCCCGACAGUCCCUCUAAGAUCCUGAGUUUUGGUGAGAUCCUGGGUUUUGGAAAAUUUUAAGGAAUUCAGUGGAAGAGUGAAGGGCCUAAAGGUGGAUGCAGUGGACAGUACGGGUGUUGGGGAUGCUUUUGUAGCUGGAAUAUUGUCACAGUUAGCUGAGGAUCUAUUUUUGCUUCAGAUAGUGCCACUAAGAACUUAAGAUAUCUUGUAUAGGAAAAUGAAUGCCAAUCGACAUUGGAUGUAUAAUAGGCUUAAGGACGCGUUGUUAAUGAACGAGCUGAAAUUGUUUAUGUAAGUUUCUAUAUAAAUAAGUUAUCUUUUAAAGCAAUCAAACUUAUUUAUUUGAUAUUAUUUUGUGAUUAUCGGGUUAUAUGAUCAAUUUUGGUUUAUAUGCAUUUGAUUAGUACUUGCAGUAGCAUUUUAGGGAUAUAAAAUAAUGCACUUUGUGAUUUGGUCUGCUCAAUUAGACUUGAGCGCCUACUCUUAGGAUUUUAGAUGAUGAUCCUUCAAUCUAAUUAUUGUAUAUUGACAUUUCAGGUAAUUGUUGUUACUUUAUUAAAUAUUCAUUUGAUACUUAUUAAGAGAUAGCCCUUCUACUUAAGAAAUCUAUAUUGUAUUAUGAUAUCUUAAAGGUAUUAUAAUUAUGGUAUCUUGCAUAUAUUAUGAUUGUCUUGUCUUGAAAAUAUUAGCAUAUUCAAAUUAAUCUAUUAUUGUG
Molecule: long non-coding RNA, 966 nt
Organism: Manihot esculenta (cassava)
Lineage: Eukaryota; Viridiplantae; Streptophyta; Magnoliopsida; Malpighiales; Euphorbiaceae
Exons: 3
Source: RefSeq, a predicted model, not a curated record